Molecule: long non-coding RNA, 1680 nt
Filed under: Homo sapiens (human)
Lineage: Eukaryota; Metazoa; Chordata; Mammalia; Primates; Hominidae
Description: HSALNT0034139
Source: RNAcentral
UGGAGGUGUGAGGUGUAGACAGAGAUGAUGAGGUUCAUGUAGAGAGAGGUGGUGAGAUGUAUAUGGUGGUAUGGGGUAUAGAUGGAGGUUCUGAGGUAUUGACGGUGGUGUAAGGUGGAGAUGGUGAGGUGUAUAUGGAAGUGAUCAGAUGUAGAUGGAAGUGUGAGGUGUAGAUGGGGGGUGAAGUGUAGAUGGAAAUGUGAUAUGUGAAUGGAGGUGGUGAGGUUUACAUGGAAGUGAUGAGAUGUAGAUGGAGGUGGUAAGUUGUAGACAGAGGUGUGAGGUGGAGAUGGAGAUGGUGAGGUAGUGUAUGGUGGUGUGAAGUAUAGAUGGAGGUAUGAGGUAUACAUGGUGAUGAGGUGUGGACAAGGGUGGUGAGGUGUAGAUGGUGAUGGUGAGGUAUAGAAGGAGGUGUGUGGCGUAGGUAUAGGUGGUGAGAGAUAGGUGAGGGUGGUGAGGUGUAGAUGGUGGUCGUGAGGUGUAGAUGGAGGUGGUGAUAUCUAGAUGGAGGUAGCGAGGUCUAGAUGGAGGUGUGUGAUAUAGGUGUAGGUGAUGAGGUAUAGGUGAGGGUGGUGAGGUGUAGAUGGUGAUGGUGAUGUCUAGAUGGAGGUGAUGAGGUCUAGAUGGAGGAGUGUGGUGUAGGUGUAGGUGGUGAGGUAUAGGUGAGGGUGGUGAGGAGGUCUAGAUGGAGGUGUGUGGUUUAGGUGUAGGUGGUGAGGUAUAGGUGAGGGUGGUGAGGUCUAGAUGGUGGUGGCAGUGAGGUCUAUAUGGAGGUGCUGAUGUCUACAUGGAGGUGGUGAGGUCUAGAUGGAGGCAGUGAGGUCUAGAUGGAGGCGGUGAGGUCUAGAUGGAGGUGUAUGGUGUAGGUGUAGGUGGUGAGGUAUAGGUGAGGGUGGUGAGGUCUAGAUGGUGGUGGUGAGGUCUAGAUGGAGGUGGUAAUGUCUAGAUGGAGGUGGUGACGUCUAGAUGGAGGUGUGUGGUUUAGGUGUAGGUGGUGAGGUAUAGGUGAGGGUAGUGAGGUGUAGAUGGUAGUGGUGAGGUGUGGAUGAGGGUGUGAUGUGUAGAUAGAGGUGGCAAGGUGUAGAUGGAGGAUGUGGAGGCAGUGAUAGUGAUGAAGGAAGGAGUUAGAAGGCCUUGUGCAUGAAGAAAUAGAAGAUUGUUGUUGCUAUUAUGCUGAUAAAUGUGGAAGAACCUGUCCUCCUUUGAUUACACAUGUGAAAUGGUGAAAUUUCACCAUUAGGAGUCUGGAGACCCUUAUUCUUUCAGAGCCAUGGUACCUUUGGGAAAUCACCUCUCUGGGCCUCAGUGUUCUUGGAGCAGAGUUUGCUCUAUUAAAUGGCAUUUGUCAGGGGGAAAUCUACCUCUCUCCCUCCAAGCACUUUUGCCUCACCUUAUAAAGUGGGAACUUCUGUCCUUGCUGCAGCCUUGAGAAAAGUACUCUCCACUUACUGCUCUACCUCUAAACUCAUGCUAUCUAGCAGAGGAUGAGUGGUUCGUGUGCUUGGAGAAUUGGAGCACAUAAAAUGGGCAUAUGUCAUGACUCAGGUUCUUCUGGAUUUCCUCCUUCUGGGAACAGCCUCCUCAGAGAAGGCCUGUGCUUCCCUCCUCUCCUCUUCUUUUCAACCUGCCCUAGGAAGGGCAGGUUCUUGCGUUGUGGGAUAGGGGAGUCUUCCAGUUCUG